AGUGAACGCUGGCGGUAGGCCUAACACAUGCAAGUCGAACGGCAGCACAGUAAGAGCUUGCUCUUACGGGUGGCGAGUGGCGGACGGGUGAGGAAUACAUCGGAAUCUACUUUUUCGUGGGGGAUAACGUAGGGAAACUUACGCUAAUACCGCAUACGACCUACGGGUGAAAGCAGGGGAUCUUCGGACCUUGCGCGAUUGAAUGAGCCGAUGUCGGAUUAGCUAGUUGGCGGGGUAAAGGCCCACCAAGGCGACGAUCCGUAGCUGGUCUGAGAGGAUGAUCCGCCACACUGUAACUGAGACACGGUCCAGACUCCUACGGGAGGCAGCAGUGGGGAAUAUUGGACAAUGGGCGCAAGCCUGAUCCAGCCAUACCGCGUGGGUGAAGAAGGCCUUCGGGUUGUAAAGCCCUUUUGUUGGGAAAGAAAAGCAGCAGGUUAAUACCCCGCUGUUCUGACGGUACCCAAAGAAUAAGCACCGGCUAACUUCGUG
This 492-nucleotide ribosomal RNA is filed under the name uncultured bacterium. RNAcentral's name for it is "partial 16S ribosomal RNA". It matches the Rfam family "Bacterial small subunit ribosomal RNA", at positions 29 to 507 of the family's 1533-position model. The record is from RNAcentral.